RNAcentral lists this ribosomal RNA (106 nucleotides) under Salmonella enterica subsp. enterica serovar Muenchen. RNAcentral's name for it is "partial 16S ribosomal RNA". It matches the Rfam family "Bacterial small subunit ribosomal RNA", at positions 1 to 104 of the family's 1533-position model. RNAcentral also lists the same sequence under 15 other names. Lineage: Bacteria; Pseudomonadati; Pseudomonadota; Gammaproteobacteria; Enterobacterales; Enterobacteriaceae. The record is from RNAcentral.
UUAAAUUGAAGAGUUUGAUCAUGGCUCAGAUUGAACGCUGGCGGCAGGCCUAACACAUGCAAGUCGAACGGUAACAGGAAGCAGCUUGCUGCUUCGCUGACGAGUG